AUGUUGCACACCUGCGGGGGGAUGAGAAGCCCCGAACGGGGUUCGACAACUGGCGCAGCCAGUUGGACAGACUGGGAGCGCAGCGGACAGGCUGCCCGAAGGGCGAGCGAAGCGAGUCAAUCCCCCCCUCACCGCCA
This 137-nucleotide small RNA is filed under the name Enterobacter sp. RHBSTW-00994. RNAcentral describes it as "RtT sRNA". It matches the Rfam family "RtT RNA". From Rfam's summary of the family: This family represents a bacterial cis-regulatory element known as RtT RNA. The exact function of RtT is unknown although it is thought that it may be involved in changing the cellular response in relation to amino acid starvation. The record is from RNAcentral. Lineage: Bacteria; Pseudomonadati; Pseudomonadota; Gammaproteobacteria; Enterobacterales; Enterobacteriaceae.